GUGGUUGCUCAAUUAAGUUUCAUUAAGAAUCAAACACUACACUAGUUUCAGGUACUAGCGAGUAACAUCGUGGAGGUUCGAGUCCUCUCCUGGGCACCA
Molecule: transfer RNA, 99 nt
Filed under: Diaphorobacter sp. JS3050
Lineage: Bacteria; Pseudomonadati; Pseudomonadota; Betaproteobacteria; Burkholderiales; Comamonadaceae
Description: tRNA-Leu
Source: RNAcentral